Long non-coding RNA from Triticum dicoccoides, 2367 nucleotides. RefSeq lists it as uncharacterized. The transcript is spliced from 6 exons. The record is from RefSeq and is a predicted model, not a curated record. NCBI's taxonomy places the organism in Eukaryota, Viridiplantae, Streptophyta, Magnoliopsida, Poales, Poaceae.
ACAUCUGAUCCGAUCCAAUCCAGGCCCCCAUCCGAUCUCGCCAGGAAACCUCCGAUCGAAGUGGAGCGAAGGGUCUCUCUUCCCCUCCUUCUCGCCAUGUGCGUGCGUGCGUGCCCUGGGAUCGUUUCUAGGACUACCCUGAUCGGUUGUUGUUCGUUCCCCUCGAUUCCUGUUAGACGUUUGGAGUACAUCUGUGGGUCGAGGCGUGGGUGCUGUUGAUCGAUUGCAUCUCGGUCUGUUGGCCAAGGCGGAUUAGGCUCGGCUGUAGUUAAAUCUCUCAUGAUUUUCGAGUAGAUCUGCCAAUUCUGGUGCGUUUGCUGUUGUGUCGCUCAAUAUAUGGCUGAUCUGUCGAAGGAUGUGAGCUAGUUUCUGAUUCUGUAGCCCUGUUAAGGUAUACACCUGUGAUUUGCUAGCGGCUUUCUAGUCGCUUGGAGUUAUCUAUAGUUGUGCAUCAAUUCAACUCUUUCAUGUCGGUUUGUCGAUAUUACUGUUGGUUCGUGGACUUCUCAGCAAAACUAGACUACUUAUGCUCCCACUGAAGCCAAAGAUUGCGCUGGUGGGUAUGCUAAUAGGUUCUGCUAAAAUUUAGCACUGUAUGGUUAGUCAAUCCAUUGGCUUGUUGUAGUGGGCAGCUCCUGUGCAGUUUGCUGAUUUCAUCUCUCUUGCAAUUUCAUUUUUUUGCAUGGUGGCAUCUGGUUCAUCUAUUGUUUGACGUAACACAGAUAUCCCUGUAUGGUAACUUACUCUAGUUCUGUCUGCUUUGUAUUUACAGAUGCAGAUCUUUGUGAGCUCGGACCAAUCGCUCGCCCCUCCAGGGAAGACGCUUUUGCUAAAAUGUGUGCAUGCCAAGAUUCCUACAGUUCCAGACUGAUUGGUGAGAUUACAGUUAUAAGGGUGGAUCGAUUAGCAUACUCUGCCUACUGAAUGCCAGUCUGAGAGGUAGCAUCUGCUAUCGUCAGGUUAUAUAAGGACCUUACAAGCAGCAGCCUUCACAACUCUUUCAUACCCAAUAACUGGAAAGAGUGUGGCACAGCAACAGAGCUUUCCUUGUACCAAAUGCACGCACAUCACGUGGCUGCUCAAGUCCUUCCUUCCUUCUGUUUUGGUAUAAAAAUCUUCUUCGGUUUUGUACAUGGUCCCUGGUUCCUUUGAUGACAUUAGUCAAAAUACACUGAUGGAUAAUUAUAUAUUCACACUGGACAACUAUUAAUUUCUUUUCCUGUAAAAUGAGAUGACAUGAUGCAAAGUGCAACCUGGACAAUGACAUAUGGAGUAGUGUUUUUCUUACUAAUUUUGGAAUAGAUCCAUUGCAUGUAUAUACUGAUCCUAGCCAAAUAUGAAUUCCUUCCACAUUGACAUAGAAAUAACCCCAGUUCUGCUUGUUGUUUUGCUUUACUGUGUCCUGCUGCCACUGGACAUAAUCUCUUCUACUUGAUUCACUAGCAUAGUUUUGAUCUGGUAUUUACAUUCACUGUACUGUAUAGGUAAUUAGUGCUUCAGCUAUUUCUAAAUCAAAAUAUAGUUGCAUUUUCUGUAUCCAACCAUUCACUGUUCUCUAAAUAUCUGCCAGAUAUCUUUGCUAAAUGCUGGCCCCUCGCACGAAAUGUUUAGCUUCUGCUUUGGUGGAACAAGUGAUAACCUACUUGCUGCUGGUUCUAGUUCCAAGGUUGCUCUCACGAGAAGCUGCUGCUACAGGACGCCCUCCCCUCUCCUCCAACCCCUUGACAGGGUCUUCUUCUUCCUUGAUCUGGUGCAGCAGCAACAAUUCAAGGUCAUGGUCAUGAAGCAGCAGCCAUAUAUUUUUCUUCUUCUUAUUCUUCCCUGAGAAGAGAUGAGAUGAGGCUCUGUUGGUCGGUCUUCAAUUCUUCAUGCCGCUGCUGCUACUGCUACAUGAGGACCCUCUUCAAUUCUGCAUCCGUUGCGGCCGCUGUGGUUUCCACUUCCAGAACGGUUCCUUGUGCGGUUACCCGGCCGCCCGCAUCCUUGUGCGGUUACCCGGCCGCCCGCAUCCUUGUGCGGUUACCCGGGCGCCUGCAUCCGCAAGUGUAAGCUCCCCCUCCUUCCGUUCUAGAUCUCUAGGUCUGUUGCUGUCAUGCGCCAUGUUCUUGAUGUUGCGCGUCCUCAUGUGGAUGCCACGAACGGUGCUGCUCCUGCGUGCAGAUUUGAUUCGCCGCAUUAGUAUGCGGUUGUUGUCUUGCCGUGGUUGUUCAAAUUGAGAUGCACCCAGUUGAUUCGUCAUCUCGGGUCAUAAUUUUUCUGCAUUCCCUGUUGCUGUAGCUUGUUGGAUGCAUAGUUUGAUCUCUCAAUGGGAAUUAUUGGUGAAUGGUGAUUGUCGAUGUCAAAACCGGCGGAUCUCGGGUAGGGGGU